GUCUAUGGCCAUACCACCCUGAACACACCCGACCUUAUCUGAUCUUGGAAGCUCGACAGGGUCAGGCCUGAUUAAUACUUGGACGGGAAAUGAAUGUACUUGAGUUGGAGGGAAGAAGGGGUAUGGUUG
Molecule: ribosomal RNA, 129 nt
Filed under: Pan paniscus (pygmy chimpanzee)
Lineage: Eukaryota; Metazoa; Chordata; Mammalia; Primates; Hominidae
Source: RNAcentral